Molecule: transfer RNA, 64 nt
Filed under: Vibrio cholerae CP1050(23)
Lineage: Bacteria; Pseudomonadati; Pseudomonadota; Gammaproteobacteria; Vibrionales; Vibrionaceae
Description: partial tRNA-OTHER
Rfam family: tRNA
About the family: Transfer RNA (tRNA) molecules are approximately 80 nucleotides in length.
Source: RNAcentral
CAGUCGGUAGAGCGACGGACUGUUAAUCCGCAGGUCGCUGGUUCAAGUCCAGCAGGAGGAGCCA